This 77-nucleotide transfer RNA is filed under the name Olsenella profusa. RNAcentral's name for it is "tRNA-Pro". It matches the Rfam family "tRNA". Rfam says of the family: Transfer RNA (tRNA) molecules are approximately 80 nucleotides in length. Their secondary structure includes four short double-helical elements and three loops (D, anti-codon, and T loops). Lineage: Bacteria; Bacillati; Actinomycetota; Coriobacteriia; Coriobacteriales; Atopobiaceae. The record is from RNAcentral.
CGGGGCGUGGCGCAGCUUGGUAGCGCACCUGCUUUGGGAGCAGGGGGUCGCGGGUUCGAAUCUCGCCGCCCCGACCA